GUCUGAUGAGCAGGAGGUAGGGACCA
Molecule: non-coding RNA, 26 nt
Filed under: Cricetulus griseus (Chinese hamster)
Lineage: Eukaryota; Metazoa; Chordata; Mammalia; Rodentia; Cricetidae
Source: RNAcentral